GAUGAACGCUGGCGGCGUGCCUAAUACAUGCAAGUCGAGCGAACGGACGAGAAGCUUGCUUCUCUGAUGUUAGCGGCGGACGGGUGAGUAACACGUGGAUAACCUACCUAUAAGACUGGGAUAACUUCGGGAAACCGGAGCUAAUACCGGAUGAUAUUUUGAACCGCAUGGUUCAAAAGUGAAAGACGGUCUUGCUGUCACUUAUAGAUGGAUCCGCGCUGCAUUAGCUAGUUGGUAAGGUAACGGCUUACCAAGGCAACGAUGCAUAGCCGACCUGAGAGGGUGAUCGGCCACACUGGAACUGAGACACGGUCCAGACUCCUACGGGAGGCAGCAGUAGGGAAUCUUCCGCAAUGGGCGAAAGCCUGACGGAGCAACGCCGCGUGAGUGAUGAAGGUCUUCGGAUCGUAAAACUCUGUUAUUAGGGAAGAACAUAUGUGUAAGUAACUGUGCACAUCUUGACGGUACGUAAUCAGAAAGCCACGGCUAACUACGUG
Molecule: ribosomal RNA, 497 nt
Filed under: uncultured bacterium
Lineage: Bacteria
Description: partial 16S ribosomal RNA
Rfam family: Bacterial small subunit ribosomal RNA
Source: RNAcentral